UACGUAGGGGGCUAGCGUUGUCCGGAAUCAUUGGGCGUAAAGCGCGUGUAGGCGGUCCGGUAAGUCCGCUGUGAAAGUCGGGGGCUCAACCCUCGGAUGCCGGUGGAUACUGUCGGGCUUGAGUACGGAAGAGGCGAGUGGAAUUCCUGGUGUAGCGGUGGAAUGCGCAGAUAUCAGGAGGAACACCCAUAGCGAAGGCAGCUUGCUGGGACGUUACUGACGCUAAGGCGCGAAAGCGUGGGGAGCGAACAGG
RNAcentral lists this ribosomal RNA (253 nucleotides) under uncultured bacterium. Its description in RNAcentral is "partial 16S ribosomal RNA". It matches the Rfam family "Bacterial small subunit ribosomal RNA", at positions 524 to 776 of the family's 1533-position model. The record is from RNAcentral.